CUGCAAUGAAAUUCAAACUAUACCUUCCCAAAUUGGUAACCUGGAGGCCUUGAGAGACCUUAAUGUAAGAAGAAAUCACCUAGUACAUUUGCCUGAAGACGGAGUCUCACUCUGUCACGCAGGCUGGAGUGCAGUGGUGCGCUCACUGCAAGCUCCACCUCCCGGGUUCAUGCCAUUCUCCUGCCUCAGCCUCCCGAGUAGCUGGCAUUACAGGCACACACCACCACACCCAGCUAAUUUUUGUAUUUUUACUUCUUUUUUUUUUUUUUGAGAUGGAGUCUCACACUGUCGCCCUGGCUGGAGUACAGUGGAGCGAUCUUGGCUCACUGCAACCUCUGCCUCCCAGGUUCAAGGGAUUCUCCUGCCUCAGCCUCCCAAGUAGCUGGGAUUACAGGUGCCCGCCACCAUGCCCAGUUAAUUUUUUUUUUUUUUUUGUAUUUUUAGUAGAGACGGGGUUUCAUUAUGUUGGCCAGGCUGGUCUCAAACUCCUGACCUCAUGAUCCGCCUGCCUCAGCCUCCCAAAGUGCUAGGAUUACAGGCGUGAGCCACCGUGCCUGGCCUUUUUUGUAUUUUUAGUAGAGACUGGGUUUCACCAUGUUGCCCAGGAUGGUCUUGAUCUCCUGACCUCGUGAUCCGCCUGCCUCAGCCUCCCAAAAUGCUGGGAUUACAGUCGUGAGCCACCGUGCCCAGCCAAGAAUCUUAAAUAAUGUCGUUCCCCUGCCUCAAACUUCCCUGCACACCAAUUUCAAUGGCCAAAA
RNAcentral lists this small RNA (758 nucleotides) under Pan troglodytes (chimpanzee). RNAcentral describes it as "processed transcript". Lineage: Eukaryota; Metazoa; Chordata; Mammalia; Primates; Hominidae. The record is from RNAcentral.